Cucumis melo (muskmelon) is the source of this 842-nucleotide long non-coding RNA. RefSeq lists it as uncharacterized. The record is from RefSeq and is a predicted model, not a curated record. NCBI's taxonomy places the organism in Eukaryota, Viridiplantae, Streptophyta, Magnoliopsida, Cucurbitales, Cucurbitaceae. The transcript is spliced from 5 exons.
GGACCUGGGGCAUGGGGCCUGCAAAUCAAGGUUGCUCGAAGAAAAUUUAUUUAAAAAAAAAAAAAGCGGAAACCUAAAACCCAUUUGUUUUUAUCCCUCUCAUUCGACGCUUCCUCUCUCCCAUUUCUCUCAUUUCCCUUGUCCGCUUCAACUCCACUUCCCCACCACCACUAGAUCUGUUGAUUGCGGGGAUAUAGUUCAUCAUGACGAUUUGACUCCCAAAAAGCCUGGCUGUGAGAACAACUUCAUUAUGGUUAAAGUUCAAACUUGGUUUGUAUCUUUUGAGAUGUUUAGAAUCUCACCAUGGGAAAACUAAGGUUUAGAAUUUCAGUUUCUGUUGAGAAUCUCUUGCACUCUUCUUUCGAUGGAGAUGUUGAGAUGAUCGGGUCGUCUAGAGUUUCAGUUUCUGGAUGGGAACUAACUCACAGUAAAUGGUGUGGACGCGAAUCGUAUCCAAAAUGUGUGAGGAAAAGCAUAACAAACAUAAUGUGGCAGAUAUCAUUUUGCAUAGGCACUUUGGUUCCAAAAUAGAUUCUGAAAUGAUUAGCGCCAUAGCAGAACUUUAGAGUGAUAGACAGCCUCUGGCAACAAGCUAUGGCAAAAAAAACCAAGGAAAAUUAAUUGAAGGAAAGGUGCCAGUUCUCUGAUUUUUAAGAGGGGGCAAGUUUCUUGGUUUGGUUCAUUCCCAAACUUUAGUUAAGUUCCUCUGUAGAGGUCGGAGGUUUGAUCCCCCAUCCCUCAUUGUACUAAAAGAUAAAUUACUUCUUUGGUUAAGUAUAUUGUAAAGAAUGACUCCAAAAUAACAUCUUUGCUCUAGUAAACCAAGUAAAUGAUUUCUCAUA